This 82-nucleotide transfer RNA is filed under the name Tieghemiomyces parasiticus. It matches the Rfam family "tRNA". Rfam says of the family: Transfer RNA (tRNA) molecules are approximately 80 nucleotides in length. Their secondary structure includes four short double-helical elements and three loops (D, anti-codon, and T loops). The record is from Rfam by way of RNAcentral. Lineage: Eukaryota; Fungi; Kickxellomycota; Dimargaritomycetes; Dimargaritales; Dimargaritaceae.
GCUAACUUGGCCGAGCGGUCUAAGGCGCCGCACUCAAGUUGCGGUCUCGAAAGAGGCGUGAGUUCGAACCUCACAGUUAGCA